Mytilus californianus (California mussel) is the source of this 1551-nucleotide long non-coding RNA. RefSeq lists it as uncharacterized. NCBI's taxonomy places the organism in Eukaryota, Metazoa, Mollusca, Bivalvia, Mytilida, Mytilidae. The record is from RefSeq and is a predicted model, not a curated record. The transcript is spliced from 2 exons.
AUCAGAUUAUCUCCCAUUAUUUGAAACCGCAUUCUCUAAUUUUUCGCGACCAAAACAAAAAUGUGGAAUUGUACAAAUAGUAGGCAUUUCUAGCAUAACACGCAGCAGCAGAACCUUAGAUAUAAGCAAAAGAGUCGUCACUUCAUUAAAUUGUCAAUAACCCCCAGAACACACCCACAAACCUUGUUCACAGCUAUAAGGAAUACAUUUGGAUAUUUGGAAUUUGACAAUACACAUAUUGAAUAUGUCAUUGUGCUUUGGGAAACCGUGAAUAAUACUCAGCAGAUGGACAUUGAUGAGGAAAGUGUCAAAUACAGAGACCUUAUUCAAGGAAAUUUUAUAGACAGCUACAGAUAUUUAACAUAUAAACGAGUAUUUAGCUUGUUCUGGGUGAAUGGAUUUUACAACAAUGUGACUUAUGUCAUGAAGAUUGACGAUGAUAUCACCAUUAACAUUCCAUUUCUAAUACCUUAUCUUAGCAAUAAACGAAACAAAACCAAGGUUUUAGAAUGUUUUAUUCUUAUAGAAGCUAUACCAUAUCGUAAUCCGCGUGAUAAAUGGUAUAUGUGUUCGUCGGACUACCCCUUUGCAACGUCCUCCUUAUCAUGCUUAUUGUGCAGGACCUUCCUCAAUUAUGUCCGCUGACGAUAUAAAUGAAAUGCUUGAAGGACAAAAAAUGUGCCUUUUUGUUGGCUUGAAGAUGUCUAUGGUGGUGGAUUUUUACCCUGGAUUUUACGUAUAGAAAAAGUUCAUCCGAAAUGUUAUAUUAAAGAUUUAAAGCAGGGAUGGGGUCGAUUACUUUAAAAUGUAAUCGAUUAGAUUACAAUUGCUUUGCUUAUUUAAUGUAAUCGAUUAGAUUACAAUUACUUUGCUAAUUUAAUGUAAUCGAUUACAUUACAAUAACACCUAAAUUCAAAUGUAAUUAAUAACAUUAUAUUACUUUUCGUUAAAAUAAUCAUGAUUACUUUGGAUUACUUCUGAUUACAUUGUAUAUUGUAAUAUUAAAGCAUUUCUUAUAAACUUUUAUCCUUACGAAAAAGCUAAUUUUUGUGAAAUUUUGUGUUUUUUAAAUCCUUAAUUUAUUCAUCUAAUUCAAAAUUUAGACGGCUAGAAGCAGUGUUACAUGCAUAAAGUUUGAUAGCAUAGACAAGUGUCCUUUUCUGUGUAAAAGAUAUACAUUGUUUUUAUAAACAUUUUACCCACCUGCACAAUUAACAAAAAGCGUGAACAAAUAAUGCAAAUUCAAUUCAGUGGAUUUAUUGUCUGUGGGGAUAUAAUUGACAAAUCCAUAUGCUUUUGCAGGUGUUAAUCACUACUUCAAUUUUUUGACAAACAAUAGUUGAGAAUGGAUAUUAAAAAUUAAUUGUCUAAUUGCAAUAUCAAUGAAGUUAUCAGUAGUUUAUUAUAAUUAUGUUUCUAAAUGUUUGAAAAAUUUCAAUACUUUUUUUGUAAUUUAUUUUUAUUUUAUCUGAAAAAGCACCAAGCAUUGUGAUACAUGAAUACAUAGAUAAUUUAUAAUACAUGUAUUAAUAUUAAAUUUUUCAAUAACAG